This 339-nucleotide ribosomal RNA is filed under the name Triticum aestivum (bread wheat). Its description in RNAcentral is "partial small subunit ribosomal RNA". The record is from RNAcentral. Lineage: Eukaryota; Viridiplantae; Streptophyta; Magnoliopsida; Poales; Poaceae.
AUGAAGUACUCUGAAUGCAUUCUCCAUCUUGGCGAUAAGCAAUAUCCAUCGAUCAUUUUAGUGAAUGUAGUAGGAUCAGGCCUCUCACCAGUACGGGUAACCAAGUCAAAGAUGGUGUGUUCAUCAAUUACCUUUCCGUGGCCUAUGAUGAAUAUCCCUGUUCUUCAUUUUGGUAAUAAAUUCCUUGGCUUUCAUGGAAUUGCCAAGAUUCAAAUAACCCUCAACCAUGCACAUGUAAACUUCUGUGUCAAGUGGUACUCCCAUAUUAAUCAUCUCACUGAAUUUUUCCAUCGCAUCAUCCAUCCUGCCCAUCUUGCAAAACGCAGAUAUCACAGUUAA